GGCGGAAUGAUGGAAUGGGGAGACAUGGGAAACUCUAAAUUUCCUGCUCUUGGCAUGUGAGUUCAACUCUCACUUCCGCCACCA
RNAcentral lists this transfer RNA (84 nucleotides) under Ruminococcus sp. CAG:563. RNAcentral describes it as "transfer RNA-Pseudo(CTA)". It matches the Rfam family "tRNA". Rfam says of the family: Transfer RNA (tRNA) molecules are approximately 80 nucleotides in length. Their secondary structure includes four short double-helical elements and three loops (D, anti-codon, and T loops). The record is from RNAcentral. Lineage: Bacteria; Bacillati; Bacillota; Clostridia; Eubacteriales; Oscillospiraceae.